RNAcentral lists this ribosomal RNA (492 nucleotides) under uncultured bacterium. RNAcentral's name for it is "partial 16S ribosomal RNA". It matches the Rfam family "Bacterial small subunit ribosomal RNA", at positions 29 to 507 of the family's 1533-position model. The record is from RNAcentral.
AGUGAACGCUGGCGGUAGGCCUAACACAUGCAAGUCGAACGGCAGCACAGUAAGAGCUUGCUCUUACGGGUGGCGAGUGGCGGACGGGUGAGGAAUACAUCGGAAUCUACUUUUUCGUGGGGGAUAACGUAGGGAAACUUACGCUAAUACCGCAUACGACCUACGGGUGAAAGCAGGGGAUCUUCGGACCUUGCGCGAUUGAAUGAGCCGAUGUCGGAUUAGCUAGUUGGCGGGGUAAAGGCCCACCAAGGCGACGAUCCGUAGCUGGUCUGAGAGGAUGAUCGGCCACACUGGAACUGGGACACGGUCCAGACUCCUACGGGAGGCAGCAGUGGGGAAUAUUGGACAAUGGGCGCAAGCCUGAUCCAGCCAUACCGCGUGGGUGAAGAAGGCCUUCGGGUUGUAAAGCCCUUUUGUUGGGAAAGAAAAGCAGCAGGUUAAUACCCCGCUGUUCUGACGGUACCCAAAGAAUAAGCACCGGCCAACUUCGUG